Salmo trutta (river trout) is the source of this 1885-nucleotide long non-coding RNA. The record is from Ensembl. NCBI's taxonomy places the organism in Eukaryota, Metazoa, Chordata, Actinopteri, Salmoniformes, Salmonidae.
CUUUGUGUAUGUGUCUGUCUGUACUGUAUGAUCAAUGUGUAUUUGGCGUGUGUUUCAGUGAUGAAGUUCAAGCGCAAGCCGUGCUUCAUGGAGUUUGCUGUGCUGCUGCUCCAGAGGACCAUGCAGGCAGACCAUCUAGAGCUGGUCCUGCAGUGGGGACACGACAUAUUUGGCUGGCUUAGCAGGAGGGAUGAGGGACUGACAGGGCCUAAGAAGGGCCCAGGGGACAGAUCAACCUCAGGGAAAGAACUGAAGAAGUUCUCCUCCUCCAUCAUGGAGUACAAGGUGAGCUCAGCUAAAAUCUUUCCCUUCCCUUUUCUUUUCUGUCCCUCCCAUGAAGCUAUUGCAGAAGUGUAAUUAAAUAAGUCUGACAGCCAUUUGUUGUCCCCUUUAGAAGAAUAAAGCUAGUACAUUCGGGAGUGACAAGAAGAGGAAAGAGUUUCUCCAGAAGAAACAACUGACUGCUCUGAAAGCACAGAACACAGAGAGGUGGGUACAGUACUUUUACAGCAACUGUAAAACUCUCUUUGUGCUACUCUCUUUGUGCUUAUGACUAAUUACUGUUAAACUUUUACCCCAAUUGCAUGAGUGUGUGCGGAUGUGGGCUUAUGCAAGUGUACAUGUGUGUCCUUACCUGCAUGUAUGCUCCACUCACAUCUGUGUGUCAGGGAGUGUAAGGCGGUGGACACCAUGCUGAACCAGCUAGCCCCCCUGGUGCGCCGUCACCAGCGUCGGAGGCGUCUGAGACAGGUGUGUUCUGAGGAGUGGCUGUGGAGGUGUCACCUCAACCUUAGCAUCGCCAGGGCUCACCUGGGACUACUGAGAAGGAGCCUGGAGAACCACCAGGGCCUUGGGGCCCUACAACACAGGUAAAUAUAGACACAAACACACGCAUGCAUACAUACACAUAUACACACACACAUACAGAUCACUGUUUCCCACAUAUACAUACUGUACCCUUGUCACGCUAUCAUUCCCUCCAGAUUGUACUGUGCUGGCUCAGAUGUUUUCUUUUCACAAUCACUGUCCUUUCCAGCACGAUUCUCUAAGAGUGUAGCUAAAAGUGAGCUGAGCUAGCCCUAUAACGUAUCUGGUGCCAGCUCACUUUCAAGCGAGCAUAGGAGAAUAGUUAGCUACAUUUCUGUGUUUUAUUGAUCGUACAUAUAUGAACAUUAUUUUUGUGUACAUUUUACAUUUUAGAACAAAGACAAUAGACCAUGAUGACAUUUUUGUUCUUGUAGCUACAGCCAGCUGCCUCCGUUGUUGUUCUCCCUGGCCCACUCUGGUACUCUGGUGAGGGGGAGGAACAUGCAUCAGCACAUCGGAGUCCCUGACCUGAUUCCCCCGCCCCCCAAAGCCACGCCCCAGCCCUGCUUCAGAGCCAUCCUCCACAAGGCCAAGGAGAGCGGACAGGGUAAGGAAAUAACUAACUAAACUAGCUAACUAUCCUCAACACUCUUUCUCUCCCUGUCUUUCUUUUUUUCUCUUUUGCUGUCUAUAUCUCUCUCACUCUCUCUCUCCCUAUCUCUCUUUUUUUUUGACCCAUCACCAGAGGGGGCAGACAUCAGAGGACAAGAACAUUCUUCCUAUCUUUUACUCUUUCUCUCUCUCCACCCUUCAGCUGCCACCACCACCAGUGGAGAGGACUUCAACACGACAGAGAGCAGUGAGCAGGACAGUGAGCAGGACUCUCCUCGUACGCAGCCAGCUGUGGACUCGGACUAUAGUGAGCCCUCAGUGAUGACCACCUCCCCGACCAGACGCACCGCCACUCAGCUGCUAGAGUCACUCAACAAGGCUGCCCUGCACCUCCGCAGAGCCAUGGUACCUGAUAUACACACACAAACAGACACGGAUGCAUAUACACACAAACACAUACAAACAG